Transfer RNA from Idiomarina loihiensis L2TR, 74 nucleotides. It matches the Rfam family "tRNA". From Rfam's summary of the family: Transfer RNA (tRNA) molecules are approximately 80 nucleotides in length. Lineage: Bacteria; Pseudomonadati; Pseudomonadota; Gammaproteobacteria; Alteromonadales; Idiomarinaceae. The record is from Rfam.
GUCCCCGUAGCUCAGCAGGAUAGAGCAGCCGCCUCCUAAGCGGCAGGUCGCAGGUUCGACUCCUGCCGGGGACG